This 402-nucleotide ribosomal RNA is filed under the name bacterium. RNAcentral describes it as "partial 16S ribosomal RNA". It matches the Rfam family "Bacterial small subunit ribosomal RNA", at positions 355 to 776 of the family's 1533-position model. The record is from RNAcentral.
UGGGGAAUAUUGCACAAUGGGGGAAACCCUGAUGCAGCGACGCCGCGUGAACGAAGAAGGUAUUCGUAUCGUAAAGUUCUGUCCUAUGGGAAGAUAUGACAGUACCAUAGAAGAAAGCUCCGGCUAAAUACGUGCCAGCAGCCGCGGUAAUACGUAUGGAGCGAGCGUUGUCCGGAAUUAUUGGGCGUAAAGGGUACGCAGGCGGUUUAAUAAGUCGAAUGUUAAAGAUCGGGGCUCAACCCCGUAACGCAUUGGAAACUGAUAAACUUGAGUAGUGGAGAGGAAAGUGGAAUUCCUAGUGUAGUGGUGAAAUACGUAGAUAUUAGGAGGAAUACCAGUAGCGAAGGCGACUUUCUGGACACAAACUGACGCUGAGGUACGAAAGCGUGGGGAGCAAACAGG